GAAGCACUUUGUCAGGACCUCUGC
Molecule: non-coding RNA, 24 nt
Filed under: Arabidopsis thaliana (thale cress)
Lineage: Eukaryota; Viridiplantae; Streptophyta; Magnoliopsida; Brassicales; Brassicaceae
Source: RNAcentral